This 1124-nucleotide non-coding RNA is filed under the name Ansonia thinthinae (Thin Thin's stream toad). RNAcentral describes it as "partial 12S ribosomal RNA". The stretch from base 186 to 1124 matches the Rfam family "Bacterial small subunit ribosomal RNA". Lineage: Eukaryota; Metazoa; Chordata; Amphibia; Anura; Bufonidae. The record is from RNAcentral.
UAAAGCAUUGGGUCUUGUAAGCCAAAGAAUGAAGAAUAAACCCUUCCUAAAGCUCAGGAUAGAGAGAAUUUAACUCCCACAGCUAACCCCCAAAGCUAAUAUUCUAUUUAAAUUAUAUCCUGUUCGAGUAGCUUAAAAUAGAGCGCAGCACUGAAAAUGCUGAGAUGGGCCCUAAAAAGCCCCUUAAACACAAAGGUUUGGUCCUAACCUUGAAGUCAAUUAUUACUUAAUAUACACAUGCAAGCAUCCACCCCCCGGUGAAAACGCCCUUUAACCCCUCUUAGGGGCCAGGAGCCGGUAUCAGGCACAAUAAUUUGCCCAAAACACCUAGCUUUGCCACACCCAUAAGGGAAUUCAGCAGUGAUUAACAUUGAGCAUAAGCGUAAGCUUGACUCAGUUAAAGUAAAUAGAGCCGGCCAAUCUGGUGCCAGCCGCCGCGGUUACACCACGUGACUCAAAUUGACCCCACUCCGGCGUAAAGCGUGAUUAAAGUUUUCUUCAACUAGAGACAAACCCUAACUGAGCUGUGACACGCCUGUCUACUAAGAAGUCCAAAAACGAAAGUUACUCUAAUAUAACCAACUUGAAUUCACGACAGCUGGGAAACAAACUGGGAUUAGAUACCCCACUAUGCCCAGCCAUAAACCUUUAGUUACACCACCAUAAUCGCCAGGGAACUACGAGCUAAGCUUAAAACCCAAAGGACUUGACGGUACCCCAUAUCCCCCUAGAGGAGCCUGUCCUAUAACCGAUAAUCCACGUUGAACCUCACCAUUUUCUAGUUAUCAGCCUGUAUACCUCCGUCGCCAGCUUACCACGUGAGCGUUAAUUAGUGAGCCUAAUGUUACCCCACCAACACGUCAGGUCAAGGUGCAGCAAAUGAAAUGGGAAGAGAUGGGCUACACUUUCUACAUUAGAAAAAACGAAAAACUUUAUGAAACCUAGUUAGAAGGCGGAUUUAGCAGUAAGAUGGAAUCAGAAUGUCCAUUUUAACCAGGCACUGGGGUGUGUACACACCGCCCGUCACCCUCUUCAAAGUCACUAACAAAGUCCUUAACAAACCCGGACACAAUAGAAGAGGCAAGUCGUAACAUGGUAAGUAUACCGGAAGGUGUGCUUGGAAA